AUGUUUUCAUGGUUCUCAGAUAUCAUACGCAAUUACAGUGAAUAUCAGAAUCCGCGCAUCAGAAGAAUAUUGUGGAACACUGCAAUGACUUACAAAAUUGGCACCAAGGCCUUGAGUGCCAUUCUGGAAGCAAUGAAACUCGUACGCUCCCCACCUGUUGAUGCUUGUUCAGAAUAUCAUCCUAAUGACUAUUCUAACCUCGAGGAGUCAAAGGCAGAUGGCCUGUCCUGUUCACCCAUCAAGGUGCCUGUUCUAAUUUGGCAAGGUUUUAUUGAUUGCACGUAUCUUGCAUAUGUUGUCUUGCAUUUCUUCUACUUUGUUGCACCGCCAUCUGCUUAG
Molecule: ribosomal RNA, 339 nt
Filed under: Triticum aestivum (bread wheat)
Lineage: Eukaryota; Viridiplantae; Streptophyta; Magnoliopsida; Poales; Poaceae
Description: partial small subunit ribosomal RNA
Source: RNAcentral